This 459-nucleotide ribosomal RNA is filed under the name uncultured bacterium. RNAcentral describes it as "partial 16S ribosomal RNA". It matches the Rfam family "Bacterial small subunit ribosomal RNA", at positions 338 to 795 of the family's 1533-position model. The record is from RNAcentral.
CCUACGGGAGGCAGCAGUGAGGAAUAUUGGUCAAUGGGCGGAAGCCUGAACCAGCCAAGUAGCGUGCGGGAUGAAGGCGCUACGGGUCGUAAACCGCUUUUGCACGGGGAUAACACCCUCCACUUGUGGAGGUCUGCAGGUACCGUGCGAAUAAGGACCGGCUAAUUCCGUGCCAGCAGCCGCGGUAAUACGGAGGGCCCGAGCGUUAUCCGGAUUCAUUGGGCUUAAAGGGAGCGUAGGCGGGCGUUCAAGUCAGCGGUAAAAGCGCGCGGCUCAACCGCGCCCCGCAGUUGAAACUGGACGCCUUGAGUUCACAACAGGCAGGCGGAAUUCGCGGUGUAGCGGUGAAAUGCAUAGAUAUCACGAGGAACCCCGAUUGCGAAGGCAGCCUGCCGGGGUGCGACUGACGCUGAGGCUCGAAGGUGCGGGUAUCAAACAGGAUUAGAUACCCCUGUAGUC